This 449-nucleotide ribosomal RNA is filed under the name uncultured bacterium. RNAcentral's name for it is "bacterial SSU rRNA". It matches the Rfam family "Bacterial small subunit ribosomal RNA", at positions 29 to 524 of the family's 1533-position model. The record is from RNAcentral.
AACGAACGCUGGCGGCAUGCCUAACACAUGCAAGUCGAACGAAGCCUUCGGGCUUAGUGGCGCACGGGUGCGUAACGCGUGGGAAUCUGCCCUUGGUUCGGAAUAACAGUUAGAAAUGACUGCUAAUACCGGAUAAUGUCUUCGGACCAAAGAUUUAUCGCCCAGGGAUGAGCCCGCGUAGGAUUAGCUAGUUGGUGAGGUAAAGGCUCACCAAGGCGACGAUCCUUAGCUGGUCUGAGAGGAUGAUCAGCCACACUGGGACUGAGACACGGCCCAGACUCCUACGGGAGGCAGCAGUGGGGAAUAUUGGACAAUGGGCGAAAGCCUGAUCCAGCAAUGCCGCGUGAGUGAUGAAGGCCUUAGGGUUGUAAAGCUCUUUUACCCGGGAUGAUAAUGACAGUACCGGGAGAAUAAGCCCCGGCUAACUCCGUGCCAGCAGCCGCGGUAAU